GGUUCGGUAGCUGGCUCAACUUGGCCUU
This 28-nucleotide small RNA is filed under the name Bombyx mori (domestic silkworm). RNAcentral's name for it is "ovarian small RNA-17586". The record is from RNAcentral. Lineage: Eukaryota; Metazoa; Arthropoda; Insecta; Lepidoptera; Bombycidae.